RNAcentral lists this ribosomal RNA (474 nucleotides) under uncultured bacterium. RNAcentral's name for it is "SSU rRNA". It matches the Rfam family "Bacterial small subunit ribosomal RNA", at positions 26 to 518 of the family's 1533-position model. The record is from RNAcentral.
AGGAUGAACGCUGGCGGCGUGCCUAAUACAUGCAAGUCGAGCGGUAAGGCCACUUCGGUGGUACACGAGCGGCGGACGGCUGAGUAACACGUAGGAACGUACCCCAAACUGAGGGAUAAGCACCAGAAAUGGUGUCUAAUACCGCAUGUGCUCUUCGGAGUAAAGCUACGGCGGUUUGGGAACGGCCUGCGCAAGAUUAGCUUGUUGGUGAGGUAAUAGCUCACCAAGGCGACGAUCUUUAGCUGGUCUGAGAGGAUGACCAGCCAGACUGGAACUGAGAACGGUCCAGACUCCUACGGGAGGCAGCAGUAGGGAAUUUUCCACAAUGGACGAAAGUCUGAUGGAGCAACGCCGCGUGCAGGAUGAAGGCGCUCUGCGUCGUAAACUGCUUUUUACAAGGAAGAAAGAUUUGUUUCUACAGAUUUUGACGGUACUUGAGGAAUAAGCACCGGCUAACUCCGUGCCAGCAGCCGC